GAUGAAGAACGUAGCGAAAUGCGAUAAGUAAUGUGAAUUGCAGAAUUCAGUGAAUCAUCGAAUCUUUGAACGCACAUUGCGCCCGUCAGUAUUCUGGCGGGCAUGCCUGUUCGAGCGUCAUUACGCCCCUCAAGUCCCCUGUGGACUUGGUGUUGGGGAUCGGCGAGGCUGGUUUUCCAGCACAGCCGUCCCUUAAAUUAAUUGGCGGUCUCGCCGUGGCCCUCCUCUGCGCAGUAGUAAAACACUCGCAACAGGAGCCCGGCGCGGUCCACUGCCGUAAAACCCCCCAACUUUUUAUAGUUGACCUCGAAUCAGGUAGGACUCCCCGCUGAACUUAAGCAUAUCAAUAAGCGGAGGA
Molecule: unclassified non-coding RNA, 358 nt
Filed under: soil metagenome
Description: partial contains 5.8S ribosomal RNA, internal transcribed spacer 2, and large subunit ribosomal RNA
Rfam family: 5.8S ribosomal RNA (bases 1-120)
Source: RNAcentral